This 540-nucleotide long non-coding RNA is filed under the name Homo sapiens (human). RNAcentral's name for it is "non-protein coding lnc-EDDM13-1:8". The record is from RNAcentral. Lineage: Eukaryota; Metazoa; Chordata; Mammalia; Primates; Hominidae.
UCAGCAUCAAUCAUCUCCACGGUUCUCUCCAGUUAAACCCUUCUCAGGCACCACCCCAUCCAGGAAACCACUCCCCAAGAGGAAGAACACGUGGAACUUCCUGAAAUGCGCCUACAUGGUGAUGACCUACCUCUUCGUAUCCUACAACAAAGGGGACUGGUUCACUUUUUCCUCCCAAGUGUUACUGCCACUACUGUAACUUGGAACUGGACAUCAGGGAUGAUCCCUGCUGUUCUUUCUAGUGAGCCUGCUCCAUCUCAGCUUAGCCUUCACAAGGCCUCCAUCUCCCAGGCAUUCUAACCUCUGAAGAAAGCUCUCUGUCCCCUGGACUGCCUGUGUGGAGGGUAAUGAACUGGGUCCUUUAAGGAAUGGCACCUGGGUGCCCAGAGGCAUGGCCAGAAGGUGUCUGUGGGGGCCAUGCCUUAGGGGGAUGCACCCAGGGCGGCUGAGAGAGCAACUGCAGGAGUUUCCCCUAAAAUCUCUCCUCCAGAUCGUUCUCGAACUUUCCCCACUACUUCCAUAAUAAAAUGUAUACUUGUU